Zingiber officinale is the source of this 302-nucleotide long non-coding RNA. RefSeq lists it as uncharacterized. The transcript is spliced from 4 exons. Lineage: Eukaryota; Viridiplantae; Streptophyta; Magnoliopsida; Zingiberales; Zingiberaceae. The record is from RefSeq and is a predicted model, not a curated record.
UGGAAUACUUGUUUAGUUCUUGCAUCAACUUGCAGAUACGGAGGUGGAAUGAGCUCAGCAAAAGCUGCAUUGGAGAGCGAUACAAAAGUGCUGGCUUUUGAACUGCACUUGCUUGCCACAAAGCAUCAGAUGUUUCAUCUGAUUCCAACACCUCAGGGAGCUUUUAUGUACUCAAUGACAUAUUCCGUCUCAACGUGCUCAUUACAAAGAUUCUAGGAUACACUUGGAGGAAUGAUAGCUCGGCCUUAUCAUCUGGUGCCCUCAAGAGUACUGGGAAGAAUGCCGACAAACUAAAAAAAUAG